UCGAACUCAGAAAUCUGCCUGCUCUGCUC
Molecule: non-coding RNA, 29 nt
Filed under: Mus musculus (house mouse)
Lineage: Eukaryota; Metazoa; Chordata; Mammalia; Rodentia; Muridae
Source: RNAcentral